ACGGAACUUCUUUAAUUGACUUCUUCGGAAUGAUUUUGAUUAAGUUUAGUGGCGGACGGGUGAGUAACGCGUGAGUAACCUGCCUCUGAGAGGGGAAUAACAUUCUGAAAAGAAUGCUAAUACCGCAUAACAUAUAUUUAUCGCAUGGUAGAUAUAUCAAAGAUUUAUCGCUUAGAGAUGGACUCGCGUCCGAUUAGUUAGUUGGUGAGGUAACGGCUCACCAAGACCGCGAUCGGUAGCCGGACUGAGAGGUUGAACGGCCACAUUGGGACUGAGACACGGCCCAGACUCCUACGGGAGGCAGCAGUGGGGGAUAUUGCGCAAUGGGGGAAACCCUGACGCAGCAACGCCGCGUGAAGGAUGAAGGUCUUCGGAUUGUAAACUUCUUUUAUUAAGGACGAAGAAAGUGACGGUACUUAAUGAAUAAGCUCCGGCUAACUACGUGCCAGCAGCCGCGGUAAUACGUAGGGAGCAAGCGUUGUCCGGAUUUACUGGGUGUAAAGGGUGCGUAGGCGGCUUUGCAAGUCAGAUGUGAAAUCUAUGGGCUCAACCCGUAGCCUGCAUUUGAAACUGCAGAGCUUGAGUGAAGUAGAGGCAGGCGGAAUUCCCCGUGUAGCGGUGAAAUGCGUAGAGAUGGGGAGGAACACCAGUGGCGAAG
Molecule: ribosomal RNA, 658 nt
Filed under: uncultured bacterium
Lineage: Bacteria
Description: bacterial SSU rRNA
Rfam family: Bacterial small subunit ribosomal RNA
Source: RNAcentral